GUGAUUACACCUAUCUGAGAAGUUUUGCACAUAGAACGUUGUUCAGCUUGAGAUUCACCAGCUUGCAACUUCUUUGAUGGAUCUGAAUUUACUACAUGGUUCUGCUGCAAAACUCGUUGUACAGUUGCUUGUUUUUUAUUCAUCAAUUUUGGCUGUGGCUGCACCUGUGACUGUUGAUGCACCAAGGCUUGGUGGUUAGAAGAACCUAAGACUGAGAACGGAACAGAUUGCUGAGAUGAAUUGGUAUCUGAGGCAGCCAAUGAGGCAGGAUUUUG
Molecule: unclassified non-coding RNA, 275 nt
Filed under: Hevea brasiliensis (rubber tree)
Lineage: Eukaryota; Viridiplantae; Streptophyta; Magnoliopsida; Malpighiales; Euphorbiaceae
Source: RNAcentral